Sus scrofa (pig) is the source of this 603-nucleotide non-coding RNA. The record is from RefSeq and is a predicted model, not a curated record. Lineage: Eukaryota; Metazoa; Chordata; Mammalia; Artiodactyla; Suidae.
ACAGCUCAGUGCUAACUGGGCACCAAGCUCCACCAUAGGAAGGGACAUGGACAGAGAGCACUGCAGGAUCACAGGAAUGCUAGUCUCUGACCAAGGACUUCAGUUAAGGCAUCUGCCCUUCCGGCACCAUUUCCAUUUGGAAAGGGAGGGAUAAGGUUGUAUGCACUCAUGGGGUUCAAAAAGCUUUUGCCAUUUUUGAGGGUCAGUAAGUAUAAAUGUUCCUCUAAGCAGCUGCUGUUUCUCAUUCCUGUUGAGGUCUCUCACAAGGAGGCAGCAUCAGGUUCGAGCAUCACAACUGGCCACAGCCGUACCGGCCUUGAAGAUUUCUAUGGUCUAUUUUGAGCGAUUUUACUGUUCAUGGUCUUGGCAAACUUAUCCACUUUCUGACAAUAUUUAGAGCCUGAUCAUCCCGGUUACCAGGCACAACAGGAGGUGGCAAGAACCUGUAUCUAAAACACUCAAACAACCAUGUCCUGGUGUCUUCCGAUGGGAGUGCAUGUCCGUCAGAGGACAGGUUUGCAGAAACAGUGAUGAUCUCGUUCAUCCAGCCACAGGGGAGUCUGGGCUGCACCCGUGGCAUAGGGGUCGAAUCGGAGCUACAGC